GGUGAAUAUAGUUUAAUGGUAGAACGUCUGUAUGUGGCACAGUAAAUUCCCUGUUCAAAUCAGGGUAUUCACC
RNAcentral lists this transfer RNA (73 nucleotides) under Cairneyella variabilis. Its description in RNAcentral is "tRNA-His". It matches the Rfam family "tRNA". From Rfam's summary of the family: Transfer RNA (tRNA) molecules are approximately 80 nucleotides in length. The record is from RNAcentral. Lineage: Eukaryota; Fungi; Ascomycota; Leotiomycetes; Helotiales.